GUUUGAUCAUGGCUCAGAUUGAACGCUGCGGCAGGCCUAACACAUGCAAGUCGAGCGGUAGAGAGAAGCUUGCUUCUCUUGAGAGCGGCGGACGGGUGAGUAAUGCCUAGGAUCUGCCUGGUAGUGGGGGAUAACGUUCGGAAACGGACGCUAAUACCGCGUACGUCCUACGGGAGAAAGCAGGGGACCUUCGGGCCUUGCGCUAUCAGAUGAGCCUAGGUCGGAUUAGCUAGUUGGUGAGGUAAUGGCUCACCAAGGCGACGAUCCGUAACUGGUCUGAGAGGAUGAUCAGUCACACUGGAACUGAGACACGGUCCAGACUCCUACGGGAGGCAGCAGUGGGGAAUAUUGGACAAUGGGCGAAAGCCUGAUCCAGCCAUGCCGCGUGUGUGAAGAAGGUCUUCGGAUUGUAAAGCACUUUAAGUUGGGAGGAAGGGCAGUUACCUAAUACGUGAUUGUUUUGACGUUACCGACAGAAUAAGCACCGGCUAACUCUGUG
RNAcentral lists this ribosomal RNA (499 nucleotides) under uncultured bacterium. RNAcentral's name for it is "bacterial SSU rRNA". It matches the Rfam family "Bacterial small subunit ribosomal RNA", at positions 11 to 507 of the family's 1533-position model. The record is from RNAcentral.